ACGGAGCGCGUCCGAAGCAGCCCCUUGUUCUGCGUCAGUGUCAGUGUUUUGUGAUUGUUUGACUGGUGCCCGUGCUGUCGCUUAGAAAUAAAGAAAGUAAGAUCAAAACAAUUUGAGUAAGCGGGAGCACGGGCGCAGCUGAAGAAUUCAGCUGUGAAAAAACACCAAAGAUUUUUGUAGCGAGUGGAAAAGAAUGAAGUUUUCUUUUAAUCACUCCGCUGACAGAACCGGUGCCCGGUUCAGGACAUCCCCCGCGACUCAACACUACAAAAAUCUUUGACACGGAGUGUCGAAGUCUGGGGACCUGUGACCACGGCCGGCAGCUGGAAAAGGCGCGGUAAGAGUGGCAGAGGGGCGUUCAUUUAUCCGGAGCGUUAGCCGGAGAACUGAAUCGCUGAGUCGGGGCAAUGGCGGUGAGAAGGUGCAACAAAAUGGAGUCGGUGAGGAAGUGACUUGCCAAGGAGGUUGCGCUCGCGACAAAGUUAUCACCCGUGGCCCAUAAAUCGAGCCAAAAGUGGUCGGGCACGGGUGUGAGACGGAGGUCAACAGGCAACCUCGCAACAAAGAAUUCUCAUCGGCUCCAAGUAGCAGUCGUCGUCAGUUGCACCGAGAGUCAGCGAAGAAUCUUCGGGACGCACCGCGAUGAAGAAGACGUAAAACUACGGAUUCGGCAUGCAGCAGUUUUACGGGGGGGAGUGUUGCGACGGAGCGCGUCCGAAGCAGCCCCUUGUUCUGCGUCAGUGUCAGUGUUUUGUGAUUGUUUGACUGGUGCCCGUGCUGUCGCUUAGAAAUAAAGAAAGUAAGAUCAAAACAAUUUGAGUAAGCGGGAGCACGGGCGCAGCUGAAGAAUUCAGCUGUGAAAAAACACCAAAGAUUUUUGUAGCGAGUGGAAAAGAAUGAAGUUUUCUUUUAAUCACUCCGCUGACAGAACCGGUGCCCGGUUCAGGACAUCCCCCGCGAC
This is a long non-coding RNA of Culex quinquefasciatus (southern house mosquito), 961 nucleotides long. RefSeq lists it as uncharacterized. NCBI's taxonomy places the organism in Eukaryota, Metazoa, Arthropoda, Insecta, Diptera, Culicidae. The record is from RefSeq and is a predicted model, not a curated record. The transcript is spliced from 3 exons.